UGGGGAAUCUUGGACAAUGGGCGCAAGCCUGAUCCAGCCAUGCCGCGUGAGUGAUGAAGGCCUUAGGGUUGUAAAGCUCUUUUGCCGGGGACGAUAAUGACGGUACCCGGAGAAUAAGUCCCGGCUAACUUCGUGCCAGCAGCCGCGGUAAUACGAAGGGGACUAGCGUUGUUCGGAAUCACUGGGCGUAAAGCGCACGUAGGCGGAUUUGUAAGUCAGGGGUGAAAUCCCGGGGCUCAACCUCGGAACUGCCUUUGAUACUGCGGAUCUCGAGUCCGAUAGAGGUGAGUGGAAUUCCUAGUGUAGAGGUGAAAUUCGUAGAUAUUAGGAAGAACACCGGUGGCGAAGGCGGCUCACUGGAUCGGUACUGACGCUGAGGUGCGAAAGCGUGGGAGCAAACAGGAUUAGAUACCCAAGUAGUCCCUGAGCGGGCUGGCAAGGCGCAU
RNAcentral lists this ribosomal RNA (446 nucleotides) under uncultured bacterium. Its description in RNAcentral is "bacterial SSU rRNA". It matches the Rfam family "Bacterial small subunit ribosomal RNA", at positions 355 to 825 of the family's 1533-position model. The record is from RNAcentral.